RNAcentral lists this ribosomal RNA (301 nucleotides) under uncultured bacterium. Its description in RNAcentral is "partial 16S ribosomal RNA". It matches the Rfam family "Bacterial small subunit ribosomal RNA", at positions 509 to 809 of the family's 1533-position model. The record is from RNAcentral.
CAGUAGCCGCGGUAAUGCGUAGGUGGCAAGCGUUGUCCGGAAUUAUUGGGCGUAAAGGGCUCACAGGCGGUUUCUUAAGUCUGAUGUGAAAGCCCCCGGCUCAACCGGGGAGGGUCAUUGGAAACUGGGAAACUUGAGUGCAGAAGAGGAGAGUGGAAUUCCACGUGUAGCGGUGAAAUGCGUAGAGAUGUGGAGGAACACCAGUGGCGAAGGCGACUCUCUGGUCUGCAACUGACGCUGAGGAGCGAAAGCGUGGGGAGCGAACAGGAUUAGAUACCCCGGUAGUCCCUGUCUCUUAUAA